AACGAACGCUGGCGGCAUGCCUAACACAUGCAAGUCGAACGAGACCUUCGGGUCUAGUGGCGCACGGGUGCGUAACGCGUGGGAACCUGCCCUUAGGUUCGGAAUAACUCCCCGAAAGGGGUGCUAAUACCGGAUAAUGUCUUCGGACCAAAGAUUUAUCGCCUUUGGAUGGGCCCGCGUUGGAUUAGCUAGUUGGUAGGGUAAAAGCCUACCAAGGCGACGAUCCAUAGCUGGUCUGAGAGGCUGAUCAGCCACACUGGGACUGAGACACGGCCCAGACUCCUACGGGAAGCAGCAGUGGGGAAUAUUGGACAAUGGGCGAAAGCCUGAUCCAGCAAUGCCGCGUGAGUGAUGAAGGCCUUAGGGUUGUAAAGCUCUUUUACCCGGGAUGAUAAUGACAGUACCGGGAGAAUAAGCUCCGGCUAACUCCGUG
RNAcentral lists this ribosomal RNA (433 nucleotides) under uncultured bacterium. Its description in RNAcentral is "partial 16S ribosomal RNA". It matches the Rfam family "Bacterial small subunit ribosomal RNA", at positions 29 to 507 of the family's 1533-position model. The record is from RNAcentral.